Molecule: long non-coding RNA, 302 nt
Filed under: Mus spicilegus (steppe mouse)
Lineage: Eukaryota; Metazoa; Chordata; Mammalia; Rodentia; Muridae
Description: lncRNA (ENSMSIG00000009692.1)
Source: RNAcentral
GGAUCUAUUACCAUUGCAUAGAUGAAGACACCAAGCAACAGUGCAGCUAAAGAACUUGCUUGAUGAUUCACAUACAGUCAGGGCAAGACAGAGCUGGGACUCGAGGAGAUGCACAGUAAACACUUUGCAACAGGGCGCUAGAUUGCAAUUAAGAGGUGGGCAACCACCCAUGCCACCCACUAUGAUGGCCCUAUCAGAAGCCAGCUCCACAUUCCUAGACAUUCAAAACUUUGUAAGUACUCAGUUUCAAGUAUUUUGCUAGGAUACUGGAAACCAGAUUACAUAAUGGUCCAUGUGACUGA